Molecule: ribosomal RNA, 492 nt
Filed under: uncultured bacterium
Lineage: Bacteria
Description: partial 16S ribosomal RNA
Rfam family: Bacterial small subunit ribosomal RNA
Source: RNAcentral
AGUGAACGCUGGCGGUAGGCCUAACACAUGCAAGUCGAACGGCAGCACAGUAAGAGCUUGCUCUUACGGGUGGCGAGUGGCGGACGGGUGAGGAAUACAUCGGAAUCUACUUUUUCGUGGGGGAUAACGUAGGGAAACUUACGCUAAUACCGCAUACGACCUACGGGUGAAAGCAGGGGAUCUUCGGACCUUGCGCGAUUGAAUGAGCCGAUGUCGGAUGAGCUAGUUGGCGGGGUAAAGGCCCACCAAGGCGACGAUCCGUAGCUGGUCUGAGAGGAUGAGCAGCCACACUGGAACUGAGACACGGUCCAGACUCCUACGGGAGGCAGCAGUGGGGAAUAUUGGACAAUGGGCGCAAGCCUGAUCCAGCCAUACCGCGUGGGUGAAGAAGGCCUUCUGGUUGUAAAGCCCUUUUGUUGUGAAAGAAAAGCAGCAGGUUAAUACCCCGCUGUUCUGACGGUACCCAAAGAAUAAGCACGGGCUAACUUCGUG